RNAcentral lists this unclassified non-coding RNA (437 nucleotides) under Turnera uleana. RNAcentral describes it as "partial external transcribed spacer". Lineage: Eukaryota; Viridiplantae; Streptophyta; Magnoliopsida; Malpighiales; Passifloraceae. The record is from RNAcentral.
CAUUCCUUUGUGACAACGCGGCCGCGGCAGUUCUCCCCCGCCGACCCAGCGGGGCGAGAACCGCAGCGGUCGCGACCGUCAUUCUUUCCGAGGCACAAGGCAACCCGAUGGGGCAAAUAAGGGAGACAAGCCCCCGCCCGCAUAACUUUCCGCAUCCUAGACCACGAGCAACCUACACAUGCGCCGGCGCAACCAAGUCAUGGCGUGCGCGGAACACGUGCGUUGCUACGGGGAUGGCCCCGUGCCACGGUAGGCAAGGGGCAAAGGGGCACAAUCAUCGCAUUCAAUUUCCACCGUAGUGGGUAAGCAGCACAGGAACCUAGCGUGACAUCGAAAAAAUUUUCGUGUCUUCGUAUCUGAAGGGAUCGUGGCAAAACAGUUCGGUGCGCGAAGCAUGGAGCCUGCCUUCCCAAACGAUCCUAACACCACUCACGCGC